UCAGAAGCAAGUGUGCGGCUGGG
This 23-nucleotide non-coding RNA is filed under the name Rattus norvegicus (Norway rat). Lineage: Eukaryota; Metazoa; Chordata; Mammalia; Rodentia; Muridae. The record is from RNAcentral.